CCUACGGGCGGCUGCAGUGGGGAAUAUUGCACAAUGGGCGCAAGCCUGAUGCAGCCAUGCCGCGUGUGUGAAGAAGGCCUUCGGGUUGUAAAGCACUUUCAGCGGGGAGGAAGGCGUUAAGGUUAAUAACCUUGGCGAUUGACGUUACCCGCAGAAGAAGCACCGGCUAACUCCGUGCCAGCAGCCGCGGUAAUACGGAGGGUGCAAGCGUUAAUCGGAAUUACUGGGCGUAAAGCGCACGCAGGCGGUCUGUCAAGUCGGAUGUGAAAUCCCCGGGCUCAACCUGGGAACUGCAUUCGAAACUGGCAGGCUAGAGUCUUGUAGAGGGGGGUAGAAUUCCAGGUGUAGCGGUGAAAUGCGUAGAGAUCUGGAGGAAUACCGGUGGCGAAGGCGGCACCCUGGACGAAGACUGACGCUCAGGUGCGAAAGCGUGGGGAGCAAACAGGAUUAGAUACCCGAGUAGUC
This 465-nucleotide ribosomal RNA is filed under the name uncultured Klebsiella sp. RNAcentral's name for it is "bacterial SSU rRNA". It matches the Rfam family "Bacterial small subunit ribosomal RNA", at positions 338 to 795 of the family's 1533-position model. Lineage: Bacteria; Pseudomonadati; Pseudomonadota; Gammaproteobacteria; Enterobacterales; Enterobacteriaceae. The record is from RNAcentral.